GACGAACGCUGGCGGCGUGCUUAACACAUGCAAGUCGAACGGAAAGGCCUCUCUCGCGCGGUACUCGAGUGGCGGACGGGUGAGUAACACGUGAGUAACCUGCCCUUGACGUUGGGAUAACUUCGGGAAACGGGGGCUAUUACCCGAUAGGAGCUCCUGCUGCAUGGUGGGGGUUUGAGAGUUUCGGCGGUUGGGGAUGGACUGGCGGCUUAUCAGCUUGUUGGUGGGGUAGUGGGUUACCAAGGCUUUGACGGGUAGACUGCCUGAGAGUGUGAGCGGCCACAUUGGGACUGAGGUGAGGCACAGGCUGCUAAUGGAGGAAGAAGUGGGGAAUCUUGAACAAGGGGUGGCAGGCGGGUGAAGAAAGGCCGCGGGCGGGAUGGCGGCUUUCGGGUUGAAAAACGGCUUUGCUCAUGACGAAGGCUUGUGUGACGGUAGUGGGUAAAGAAGCACCGGCUAACUACGUG
RNAcentral lists this ribosomal RNA (467 nucleotides) under uncultured bacterium. RNAcentral describes it as "partial 16S ribosomal RNA". It matches the Rfam family "Bacterial small subunit ribosomal RNA", at positions 28 to 507 of the family's 1533-position model. The record is from RNAcentral.